This 468-nucleotide ribosomal RNA is filed under the name uncultured bacterium. Its description in RNAcentral is "partial 16S ribosomal RNA". It matches the Rfam family "Bacterial small subunit ribosomal RNA", at positions 28 to 507 of the family's 1533-position model. The record is from RNAcentral.
GACGAACGCUGGCGGCGUGCUUAACACAUGCAAGUCGAACGGAAAGGCCCUGCGCUUGUUGGGUGCUCGAUUGGCGAACGGGUGAGUAACACGUGAGGAACCUGCCCUUGUCUUUGGGAUAACUUCAGGAAACUGGGGCUAAAAUCGGAUAGGAGCUCCUGCUGCAUGUUGGGGGUUGGAAAAUGUCGGCGGUUGGGGAUGGACUCGCGGCUUAUCAGCUUGUUGGUGGGGUAGUGGCGUACCAAGGCUUUGACGGAUAGCCGGCCUGGGAGGGUGAACGGCGACCAUAGGCCUGAGGUACGGACCAGUAUCCUACGGGCCGCAAUAGUGGGGAGUAUUGCACAGUAGCGGGAAGCCAGAUGUAGAGAUGCCGCGUGCGUGAUACUGGCCUACGAGUGAUAAACAAAUUUGGAAGUUGCUGAGGCGUGCGUGACGGUAAUUGGUCAGAAAGCCCCGGCUAACUACGUG